CCCUAGCCCUGAUGGGAGCGGCAUCCUUUUUCUGGCUUCUUUAGCCAGGAAAAGAUAUAGCGGACAGCAGGAAACAGC
The sequence is a small RNA, 78 nucleotides long. It matches the Rfam family "Flavo-1 RNA".